UACGAAGGUGCAAGCGUUAAUCGGAAUUACUGGGGCGGUAAAGCGCGCGUAGGCGGCUUGGUAAGUUGGAUGUGAAAGCCCCCGGGCUCAACCUGGGAACUGCAUCCAAAACUGCCAGGCUAGAGUAUGGUAGAGGAUGGCGGAAUUUCCUGUGUAGCGGUGAAAUGCGUAGAUAUAGGAAGGAACAUCAGUGGCGAAGGCGGCCAUCUGGACCAAUACUGACGCUGAGGUGCGAAAGCGUGGGGAGCAAACAGGAUUAGAUACCCCCGUAGU
This 273-nucleotide ribosomal RNA is filed under the name uncultured bacterium. RNAcentral describes it as "partial 16S ribosomal RNA". It matches the Rfam family "Bacterial small subunit ribosomal RNA", at positions 524 to 794 of the family's 1533-position model. The record is from RNAcentral.